UCUUCCGUAGUAUAGUGGUCAGUAUGUGAGCUUGUCACCUAAACUGACAUCGCUCGAGACCCGGGUUCAAUUCCCGGCGGGAGAG
Madurella mycetomatis is the source of this 85-nucleotide transfer RNA. It matches the Rfam family "tRNA". From Rfam's summary of the family: Transfer RNA (tRNA) molecules are approximately 80 nucleotides in length. The record is from Rfam. Lineage: Eukaryota; Fungi; Ascomycota; Sordariomycetes; Sordariales.